CCGGCCCGCCGCCCCGCGAAGCCCUGCGACGCCCCAGAACGGCUCUCACCCUCAGCCCCUCAGCCACGACGACCCGACCCGAGCCGAGCCCUCAGAGACCGGAUGUGGGCCGCGGACGCUGUCAGACAGAAGAUUUUUGAAGAAAAAUUAAGAACAUUAGUCUGAAAACUACAAAGGAAACCAACCUCAUGUUCCUGGCUGAGAGAUCAGAAUAUAACCAAGGGAUUGCUAGGGAAAUGGCAUUGUCAAACAGAAGACCGAUUUCAGGGAUGGAGGAAAAGUGGGCAGACCAGAACUAGGCUGUCACCAUAUCCCUGCAAGAAACUCUCAAGAUACCUUUCGGAGAGAAAUGUGAAUAAUUGGUUCCCGAGGGGAGAAAGGAGGACAAGAUCAGGAAGAGCCACAUGGUUGAGGGGGCAGGACUUCAAAGAUUCUUAAUAUUCUAACAUAUUUCAUUAAUGCAGACAAGCCAAUAUUCUUCACUUAACAUCUCUGAAAUAAGGAUGUGCCUUACAAGUUAUACCACCUUAGAAUUAUUCCUAGCAUCCUUUUUUCUCUUUCAGUGGUAAAUAAAAUAAAGGUGUAACUUACAAACAA
This is a long non-coding RNA of Herpailurus yagouaroundi (jaguarundi), 597 nucleotides long. RefSeq lists it as uncharacterized. Lineage: Eukaryota; Metazoa; Chordata; Mammalia; Carnivora; Felidae. The transcript has 4 exons. The record is from RefSeq and is a predicted model, not a curated record.